AACGAACGCUGGCGGCAUGCCUAACACAUGCAAGUCGAACGAGACCUUCGGGUCUAGUGGCGCACGGGUGCGUAACGCGUGGGAAUCUGCCCUUGGGUUCGGAAUAACUCGCCGAAAGGCGUGCUAAUACCGGAUGAUGUCGUAAGUCCAAAGAUUUAUCGCCCAAGGAUGAGCCCGCGUUGGAUUAGCUAGUUGGUGAGGUAAAGGCCCACCAAGGCGACGAUCCAUAGCUGGUCUGAGAGGAUGAUCAGCCACACUGGGACUGAGACACGGCCCAGACUCCUACGGGAGGCAGCAGUGGGGAAUAUUGGACAAUGGGCGAAAGCCUGAUCCAGCAAUGCCGCGUGAGUGAUGAAGGCCUUAGGGUUGUAAAGCUCUUUUACCCGGGAUGAUAAUGACCGUACCGGGAGAAUAAGCUCCGGCUAACUCCGUG
Molecule: ribosomal RNA, 433 nt
Filed under: uncultured bacterium
Lineage: Bacteria
Description: partial 16S ribosomal RNA
Rfam family: Bacterial small subunit ribosomal RNA
Source: RNAcentral